UCAAGUUCUAUUUAAAGGCAAGCCCUGGCCUUGCAAAAAAUCACUCUUGCUGCUGCUUGCUGCUGGUGGUGAGAGAGUUUGGCUUCAGACUUCUUGUGCCUGCCUGCUUGCCUGCCUCUGUGCUGGUGAUGGUGGAAGGUUGCUCAUUCUGCCCGCCCCCCCGCCCUGCUGUGCCCGCCUGCUCCCAACCCACUACUGGUCAGGUAAGGUUUUUUCCCCUGACCAGUGUGUGUGUGGCAAAAGAUUCUUCAGGACAACAAGGGGAUUUUUCAACAAAUCCCUUUGAUGAUGCAUCCUUUUGAAGUUCAACAAGCCUCCUCUACAGCCCUGAACUCCAGCAAAACUCAGCACUGGCUUGCAAGCAUUUUCAGGAAACAAGGGGGACUAUAGCACAAUGACAGGACUGUAAGCCAAACACUGGAAUGUCUGAGGCUAAGAAGCGUGUGGGAGCCCUACUGAGGGCCAUAAACAAUGGAGAUACCUGCUGGAGUGGAACCAGCUCAUUUGCAUGUCAAGAGGGCCUCCAGGGAUGAUAAACCUCUUAAAACCACGCGGAGUCCAAGGGGCAGCAACUGAGAAGGCCUGAUCUCAAAUUGCCAUCAGACAAACUGAAGACAGAACUCUCCUGAUUAUCUUAAUGAACGGUGGGGAUUUUGCAGAGAAAGGUGCUCUCUCGGGUAACCUGGGCCUAAGCCACUCAGGGCUUUAAAGAUCAAUAUGAUGUAGUUACUGUGUUCAGUGGGAGCAGAACCACAGGAUCCAGAAGUGGGAAACCCAAGCAGUGAGCAGCAUGUGAGUGUAUCGGCAUCACACAGAGGGCAAGGUACCACCUGUAUAGGACUUCAUCAAGAGCAUCAUCCUGUCUCCCAGGCAGUUCAUCAUCAGCAGAACAAGGAUAUCUUGAAAGACUGUUGAGAAGCCAAACAUCCAAGGACAAAACAUCAUCAGAGAAUAACUGCUGUGGUUUCUUUUCCUAGGGCCCUGCAGGCCAACUUUUGUCACCAUGUGCCUGGCUCAUGUAAAUUUGCUAAUUGCUUGAGCAAAAGGAGUGGCUGGGUGCCACUGUGUUUGUCUUCCAUUCAUUGAAUAGGAUUAGGGACUCUGACACAAGUGAUUAAUCACCAUACCGCAGACACACAGAACUUGUCACCUCUAAACAGAGAGCGGCCACAAUCUAUGCCAAACAGCUGCUGGUUCCUGAUAUCGAACUUUCCUGAUCUCUGCCUCUUCUGUCUGCUCUUUUCUGUGAGCAAAAAGCUUCAGCCUCAUCAAAUGAAGCCUGAACUCACAGACAGGACUGUGCUAAGUGGUGAAAGUGGGUGAGAGCAGCUAGGUAUGCAGUACUAACAGAACAGGUUCUCUUCUUUCAUCACUGCAACUUCUUAGAAGUGAUGCUAAAGAUACUGUCUCAACAUUAUAUUGCACUCUUCAUAUUCUGUACCAAGAAAACAAAAAUCAAAAUCUGUACAAACUGAUUCAUUUUUCACAAACAGUGCCACGUGGCAAUUAGUCCUAGUAGAUUUAAAUCUUGCAUUGAGUAUGGGUAGUCUGAUCACAACUAGAAUGGGUUACCCUAAGGCUGCAUUACCCCAAGGCUGCUCUGGACCAAGUGCCUGGCACUUAUGAUCCUACAAACCCAUUGUGUUCCUGAGGGAAUUGUUAAUGUCAGUUUAUAUCCCCUUAAAGAAGAAUUAGACAAUUAAUGUCUAAUUAAUGGAGGACAGAUCUACCAAUAGCUGUCAACAAUGACUACUAGAAAUGCUUGUCUCCACCAUUCCAUUCUUGUAGCUUCCCAGUGGCACAUAUGGCUGGCCACCAUUUGAGAUGAUAGCUGACAUUCUGGGCAGUUUCCAGUGGGCACUGCUGUUUGCUUGUUUAAAAGGGUUCAUGUAAUUGUGCAAUAGUGCUCUUGGACAAAUGUCAGAAUUGUGCAACUGUGGAUGUGUGGUCAUUAUUUCCAGCGGCCAUACACUGGGCAACACAUUUGUGAAAUUCCAGUGUUUGUGCAAGAAUACUAUUUUACAAUUGUAUGCAGCAGCUCCUGUGGUGCUAACAAUGGCCACAGGAAGUUGCAAGAAUGUCAGCCAGGAUAUUGAACUUGAUGGGCCUUUGGCCUAAGUGAUCUGGCAAAGAAGCUCCCAUGCUCCUGUUUUCUGAUUUGUGUACUUUGCUGGUUUGUAGUAAAUCUGAAGAAUCAAAAAUGCCUAAUAAGUCAAAAGAAACUCUUAAUGUUGUUCUCUUAUUUGUUAAUUUUUAAAAAACUCUUGUAUUUGAAGGCAAUCUUUGGCUGAAAACAUUUGCAAGUAAAUAUCAAU
Hemicordylus capensis (graceful crag lizard) is the source of this 2315-nucleotide long non-coding RNA. RefSeq lists it as uncharacterized. The record is from RefSeq and is a predicted model, not a curated record. Lineage: Eukaryota; Metazoa; Chordata; Lepidosauria; Squamata; Cordylidae. The transcript is spliced from 8 exons.